This 465-nucleotide ribosomal RNA is filed under the name Vreelandella stevensii. Its description in RNAcentral is "partial 16S ribosomal RNA". It matches the Rfam family "Bacterial small subunit ribosomal RNA", at positions 338 to 795 of the family's 1533-position model. The record is from RNAcentral. Lineage: Bacteria; Pseudomonadati; Pseudomonadota; Gammaproteobacteria; Oceanospirillales; Halomonadaceae.
CCUACGUGAGGCAGCAGUGGGGAAUAUUGGACAAUGGGCGAAAGCCUGAUCCAGCCAUGCCGCGUGUGUGAAGAAGGCCUUCGGGUUGUAAAGCACUUUCAGUGGGGAAGAACGCCUUGGGGCUAAUACCCUCGAGGAAGGACAUCACCCACAGAAGAAGCACCGGCUAACUCCGUGCCAGCAGCCGCGGUAAUACGGAGGGUGCGAGCGUUAAUCGGAAUUACUGGGCGUAAAGCGCGCGUAGGCGGUCUGAUAAGCCGGUUGUGAAAGCCCCGGGCUCAACCUGGGAACGGCAUCCGGAACUGUCAGGCUAGAGUGCAGGAGAGGAAGGUAGAAUUCCCGGUGUAGCGGUGAAAUGCGUAGAGAUCGGGAGGAAUACCAGUGGCGAAGGCGGCCUUCUGGACUGACACUGACGCUGAGGUGCGAAAGCGUGGGUAGCAAACAGGAUUAGAUACCCGUGUAGUC